CACAGACAGACACCCUGAGGUACUGGUGACUCACCGGACCGGCUCUGAUCCGAGCAGAGGCUCAGCAGGACGAGCACAGACGGAUCGAAGGUUUAACGCCACUUAAAAUGGCCAUAGUUCACUCAUCUGUGUUUACAGACGCUGCCUUCACAAAAACUCCUAAUCAACAUUCCUGCAGCGUCUGGGAACGUAAAGAGGCUGUAAAAUGAAACAAAUGAAAUGGAAAGCGCUCCCGUCGUAUUAAACCUAAGGCUGCGUAAUGGCCACUCUCCCCUUGACACGUUUUCAUUUGUUUGACAGUAAUGUUUCCGUCAGCAGCUAUUAAGAGGCCGUUAGAGAGCGAGGAGCCUCCUGAGAGCUCGCUCCACCGUGAAAUUAUUUAUCCAAAGGUGGGUAAGUAUUUAGGAAACGCUGGUUUGGGCAGAGAAGGUUCUGCAGACGCCAGCCGUGACGAGGAAGCUGUGCUUUAAUCAUGUUAGUCAGUCAGAAUGUGGGGAAUGAAUGAAGUGGAGCUCAUCACGAUUCGUUUGGCGGCGAGAAACAAUAACGUGAAGGCGUCAGUGUGCGGCUCUGGAACCCGCCUCCUCCCAUGAUGCAUUUCAUGCAAGCUGUUGAGGUUUCAGUGAAAACACACUGUUGGGCUUUGUUUUGGUGACCUCAGCACAACGCCUGUUUUUGCUCACGAAGGAGAGGAGCGUUCACUCUAUGGCUUCUGGUCACACUGGGUCACUGCUCAGGCCUGGAAUGUGUCUAAAGGUCCUGAUGAAGACAUAAACCAGACGUUCAAAACUGGGGUCUGGGCACUUAGAGCAGAUACCAGCACUUCUCCUCCGAGCUGGGACUCGAAGCAGAUCCCACCAACGUGCAGAGACGAGUCCAUCAUUCCCUCUCGCUCUGCGUCCGAGUUGUUUUGCAAAUCCUCAGAUUACAGCGAGAGCGUGGAAGCAGCAGCACGGACACAUCUGUGGGGGAUUAAAGCUCAGAGAGGACUGUCAGUGUGUUAGUGAAGCAAAGCGUCAGACCUGUGAAGCGGCGUUAAGUCGUUACUGGAGGUUUAGAACAUGAGGCGUUAGAAGCUAUUGAGCCACAGUCUGACUCCAUCUACUGGCAUAAACGAGAACUGCAGCAUGUGGGGCUCAAGACUCUUCUUCCAUUACUACUGAGGAUAGUGGUUGUUUUAUUAAACUGGGUAAAUAAGUAGGAAAAUAAUGAGGCGUGGGAACUUUACAAUGUACAAGUUUAUUUUUAAUGAACUCUUCAGUGGUUGGUAGUCACAGCACAGCUUGCAUGUAUUAAGCCACACACCUAUUUUACAAGAUGACGAAAAAAAAAAAGAAAACGAAGUCAAACCCAGGCGAGAUGGCCACAAAUCCAUCUGCAGUGACUUCAAUUCUAAAAUAUCCUUAAAAGGCCACUGAAAUGCAUAAAAUGGUUUCAGAUGCAUGAAUAUCGGAUGGUGGUGAUUUGCUUUAACCUGACAUCAAGACUCCUCACAUGGCAUCGACAGUGCAUGUAGACGUAGAAAGGACUGGGUUAGCAACACCUAGUAUAGUCUUUUUUUAUUAUUUAGUGACAACACCUUGGCUAGAAUACUACAGCUUUAAAAAAACUGGAAACAAAAUGAACAGCACUCGUCCAAGAUACUGAAUACAACCAAAGUGAAAUGUAGUGAAGCGAUUUUUGCAAAUCUCACAAUGACUUAUUUUGAGCUGGAGGAAAGAAGCAGUGAACCGCCAAGCGGCUCCUGCACCCAAAUAUUUAAAAAAAAAAACGAAGAAUUAAAACACACCUUGCCGUCCUCUGGAAUUUGUAUACUUUUAA
Betta splendens (Siamese fighting fish) is the source of this 1821-nucleotide long non-coding RNA. RefSeq lists it as uncharacterized. The record is from RefSeq and is a predicted model, not a curated record. Lineage: Eukaryota; Metazoa; Chordata; Actinopteri; Anabantiformes; Osphronemidae. The transcript is spliced from 2 exons.